AAUGAACCUACGAGUUUCCUCACCAACUGCCUCCUGGUUCUGCGGGCACAGCCAUCUGCAGUGUCUGGAGGUGGAAACCUGAGAGCGCUCCUUCAGCUGCUUGGUGCCUGGUCAUGUCAGCUCUCCAGUCACCUCCACUCAGCAACAUCUACUGGCUUUUUGGGUACCUUCAGAAACAAGGAAGUCAGAUAUAUUCCCUGUAGAAUAUUCCCUUUUUUGUCCUUCACUGUGAGUUGCCAAUCAUUUAAUCUUCAUCCUCUUUAUUGUUUGUUUUUUUUUUUUUAUUAUUACUUGUUUGUAUUUUUUUUACACAAUUUCAGAAAUGCUGAGGUUGGAUGGGACCUCUCAAGAUCAUCUAGUCCAACUCCCCAUGCUCAAACAGUGCCAGCUAAAGCAGGUUGCUCAGGACAUUGUCCAGUUGGGUUUUGGAAUAUCUCCAAAGGCGGAGACUCCACAACCUCUCCGGGCAACCUGUGCCGGUGUUUGAUCACCUUUACACUAAAAAUAAAUAAAUUUCUACAUUUAAAUGGAAUUUCUUGUGUUUCAGUGUGUGCCCAUUGCCUCUUGGCCUUUCAGUGGGCACCACCACAUUGCUGGCUCACUUGUAGUCUGCUGGGAUCCUCAGGGACAGCUUUCCAGCCAGCCAGCCUUCAGCAUGUACUGGUGCAUGGGGUUAUUCUUCCUCCAGGGCAGGACGUUGCAUUGCACUUCUUGAAUUUUGUAAGGUUCCUCUUGGCUCAUUUCUUCAGCCUGUCAAAGUCCCCCCGAGUGGCACCAAACCCAUCUGGUGUAUGAACCAUUCCUCCUUGUAUUGUACCAUCUGCAAACUUGCUGAGGGUGCAAUCUGUCUCUGCAUCUAGGUCAUUAAUGUCGAGGUUACCUAACUGCAGAACAAUCAGAUAUUUCAAAUGCUGAUAGCUUUUACCCACUGGUAACGCAUUUGCUCAAUUUAUUUAGGAAUAUCCUGUUUGUGGAAAGUAAAGACAAACAAUUCUCCAUUAUUCACCUUUGUGUUUUAGGUGCAACAUAAAGCCAGGGGAUUAUUAAGUGAGCCUUAAUCUGAUGAAAACUGUAACAGAGUAUUUCCAAGAAAGCAGUUUUGUUUUUCAGGAUGAACGUCAUGCAACAACAAUUAGAGGAACACUAAGACUUAUUUUUUUACUAAAGAUUAUGUACUGAAAACAGUCUGUUUUCUAAAGUGGGUUUUGUGGCUACAACACGGAACACACAUACUAAAAAAGAACAAAGGAGACAUUAAAAGAUACCUCCUAGUCCUGGAGUAAAACUAAAACACUGGAAAUAGGAUGUUCCCAGAAAAAAAAAAAAAUAAUAAAAAUUUAAAAAUGCAUAAAGCGUAUCUAAAU
Molecule: long non-coding RNA, 1364 nt
Filed under: Anas platyrhynchos platyrhynchos (common mallard)
Lineage: Eukaryota; Metazoa; Chordata; Aves; Anseriformes; Anatidae
Description: lncRNA (ENSAPLG00000026576.1)
Source: RNAcentral